GCCCUGGAGGACGCUCAAUGCAGAGCUGCAGACUGGCCAUGGUGCCACCAUUUCCCAACCCGCACUGCCCUAAAUCACAUAGCUCCCCCCUUCCACUUCUGUCACACCACUUAUUUUGGUUAGGGUCACCUCUUUUUGAAACACCUCCUUCUUCCGUACUUCAAAGGGCUUUCUGCUCUAGAAAUAAUUCUGCCACCACAGCAUGAGCAAGAAAUAAUGAUUUCUGCAAGAGCUGUUCAAAGUCCCCUCCCGAUAGUGGCUUGAAUUUUUUACAAUGGUGUGGAAUGUGCAUCGAAUUGUUAAUCUGAUGGCUGUCGUGGCCUUGCACAAAUGACUACCUUCUAUAAAUAAAUUCCUGCCAGCGUGAUGAUAUAUUAGUAAUAAGAGUACAGAUAGAGCAUGUGUGUAAUGGAGCUGUUAUGGGUGGCACUGUGUAAUGUGGCACACAAAACCCUUACCUCAUUCAGGACAGAGGCUCAGGAAAGGAGUAUGCAGCCAGGUGAGGAGGCAGGGGGUCAGGCUAGUAACUUUUCACUGUUUUCACCUCUUUUUCCCUUAACAUUCCCCCGUAGUUCAGUGGAGAGACAGCCCCACAGACACGAAGCCACUGCGAACUGAGCUCCUUCCCCACUUCCCCCACAACCUCUAGUGCUGAAUGAAAAGUAGUUCGGAGACUCCCAGAACUCUCCAGAGAACAUAAAAUAGCCCUCACAGCCCCGGGUGCUCAGUCUGGGCAGAAAUUUACCUCAGGAUUUCCAGGAGAAGCGGGCACCCCUCACCCCAUAGCGGGCGCUCAUGGCGGCCCCACAGCACUCCCCCCCUCGCGUCCCUCUCCGCCCUUUUCGCUCCCGGACCCCAUUUCGCUGCAGCCUGCCGCACUUGGCCGUGUGGGAGGGAGGAGUAUCAGCUCUAUGCCCUGCCCAGCGGGCUCAGGACAAAGGCGGCUGCGUUUCUACCGCCACAGCCGUCCCGCCCGGGCUAGGCGGAGCCGUGCCCAAGCGCCGCUCCCCACCCGGGACGAGCCGCCCCUGCCCGCCCGGCGCUUUAACCGCCCGCCGUGGGUGUUGGCCGGGCGCAGUGCGCAUGAGAGAGGGGUCGGCUCCUCAGCAGAGCUCGCUUUGGGUUUUGAGGUUACUCCGAGAACCGGCUGUCCUUCGUCUGGUGUCCUUCCCGCACUCCGCUUUGUCCCCUCAGCUGCCUCAGCCAGGAGAGGCGCGGACUUCUGCCCGCAGCAGGGCUGACAGUUACCAGCCACUCGAGUUGUGGCACUGCAGGGCUGCGCUUCCAAGACAUUGUGCGGGCGCCUUCCCACGGGACACUCGUCGGUGCUGCAGAACAGAGGAGGGAGUGCUCGGCCGUGCCUCUGAAAUGAGCACAGCUAGCAACCCUACGUAA
Molecule: long non-coding RNA, 1395 nt
Filed under: Anas platyrhynchos (mallard)
Lineage: Eukaryota; Metazoa; Chordata; Aves; Anseriformes; Anatidae
Description: lncRNA (ENSAPLG00020000964.1)
Source: RNAcentral